This is a long non-coding RNA of Pelmatolapia mariae (spotted tilapia), 717 nucleotides long. RefSeq lists it as uncharacterized. Lineage: Eukaryota; Metazoa; Chordata; Actinopteri; Cichliformes; Cichlidae. The transcript is spliced from 3 exons. The record is from RefSeq and is a predicted model, not a curated record.
ACUGGACUUGACGUAGGUAGUGUCAAUGCGGCGACAUUCCUAGUCCUGAGAGUUGAGUCGGGAGGAGGUCACAGGGAAUUCCAACGUGUGUGGGUCAUGUGACCCGUGCGAUUGGCAUGUGUGGACAGAGUUCCUGUCUUCUUUAGUGAUCAGUGAUCACUGCACUGAGAUUUUAUGUAAGAGCGAGGGGACGUUUGUUUUGCAUUCACACUUCUUGGAGGAUUAGCAUCACCUGCGAGGCUCACCUGCCUCCUUCACAUGUCUUGCGUACACAUUCAUACAAGUCGCUGUGAUCUUGAUGGCACAUUUAUUUCAAGGUUAUUUUCAGAUAGAGCAGGCUAAGCGGACUGAUGGUCAGGGAUGUCAGCGGAUUUAACAAACUAGCUUGAGGACAAACAAGUUUCCAUAGAAAAUACAGUCGCGAAUCGCUCCAACCAGGAUCCAAAGAUGCCAGACUGUGCCAUUUAAGUGAGCAAUAGUUAGACUGUGUGAAGGUCAUUCACAGUGUUUAAGUCAAAGUAGAGCGGGACAUUUGAUUUACUCUCAGCGGAAUUGACCGGAGAAGGCAUCAGUUCAUGCACUGCACUGGCCUACACCAUGAUUAGUAUAAGGCACAUUUCACGAAGCAGAACGCAGUCUUCAGAGAUAUCCACGUGAACGCUGUGAUACGUCUGACCUUCAGUCCGAAGAAGAAACCCAGACCAGUCUUAAAAGAAA